This 62-nucleotide transfer RNA is filed under the name Emplectonema gracile. Its description in RNAcentral is "tRNA-Leu". Lineage: Eukaryota; Metazoa; Nemertea; Enopla; Monostilifera; Emplectonematidae. The record is from RNAcentral.
UAAUAAAGUGGCAGAAUAGUGCCUUAGAUUUAAGCUCUAAAUAUAGACGAAGUCUCUUUAUU